AUCACCUGGGAAUCUUGUUAAAUAAAGCAGAUUCUGAUUAAGUAGCUUGGUGUGGGGCCUAGGAUUCUGCAUUUCUAAUGAGCUCCCAGGUGUUGCUGA
Pongo abelii (Sumatran orangutan) is the source of this 99-nucleotide non-coding RNA. Lineage: Eukaryota; Metazoa; Chordata; Mammalia; Primates; Hominidae. The record is from Rfam.